UACGGGGGGGGCAAGCGUUGUUCGGAAUUACUGGGCGUAAAGGGCUCGUAGGUGGCCAACUAAGUCAGACGUGAAAUCCCUCGGCUUAACCGGGGAACUGCGUCUGAUACUGGAUGGCUUGAGUUCGGGAGAGGGAUGCGGAAUUCCAGGUGUAGCGGUGAAAUGCGUAGAUAUCGGGAGGAACACCUGUGGCGAAGGCGGCCACCUGGACGACGACUGACGCUGAGACGCGAAAACGUGGGUAGCAAACAGG
Molecule: ribosomal RNA, 253 nt
Filed under: uncultured bacterium
Lineage: Bacteria
Description: partial 16S ribosomal RNA
Rfam family: Bacterial small subunit ribosomal RNA
Source: RNAcentral